AAUCCAGACCAAUUCAGUGAUGAAAUGAGGUUGUUUUGCACAUAGUCAGGUUAGAAGAAGUAGGGCUCGUCCUUUGAACGCUCAGCACUAUGUGUACUCAUCCAUGCUCGUGCUCACGAAGUGUCUCCACUGUGAGUAGAUUCACGCAUCGUUCCCUGGAAUGAAAUAAGGUCUUCUGAAAAUGUCCCACCUGGAAGGAAGCAGGAAAGUUGCACAGCGAGAGUUGACUGUCAAACAGCAAGUGUCAUCUGCCUCCUCCUCACCCUGUAACCAGAAGGCUGGGGUUAAAAGUGGGAGGGAAGAACAAGAGCUGAAUAACUGAGAGCACGAGAAAUUUGGCAGCUUCUGAAGUCUGUAUGUACAACAAAGCACUGAAUGACGCAUUAAGGCAGUGCACCUUAAUUGUAAAUUAAACACGGUAAAUUAUAAGAUAAAAGUAUUUUAGAAAUUAAAUCCACCCCGUAUUGAUAUGUUGCAUUAUCCUGGAGUGACCUAGGGCAGCCAAAUGUUCUUGCAGUCUGUCCUUGGCUCCUUUCACAUUAUACAA
Numida meleagris (helmeted guineafowl) is the source of this 547-nucleotide long non-coding RNA. RefSeq lists it as uncharacterized. The record is from RefSeq and is a predicted model, not a curated record. The transcript is spliced from 3 exons. Lineage: Eukaryota; Metazoa; Chordata; Aves; Galliformes; Numididae.